AGAUGUUACCGCCUACAUGGAUACCCACCGGGCCUCAAGCCCAAGCCCAAAACACGUUUUAAUGAUGGAACUGUGCAAGCCCAAAAACAAACCCACAAUGCUCCAGCUAUUUUUGAUGAGGGGUCUGUCCAAACGCAGGCCCAAGCCCGUAAUCCACCAGCUAUCUCUCGGCCCACUCAUGGAACCAAUUUUUUCAACCCGUCUGGCC
Molecule: long non-coding RNA, 208 nt
Filed under: Carica papaya (papaya)
Lineage: Eukaryota; Viridiplantae; Streptophyta; Magnoliopsida; Brassicales; Caricaceae
Description: long non-coding RNA (CPAP_LNC007139)
Source: RNAcentral